GUGAAGAACGUAGCGAAAUGCGAUACGUAAUGUGAAUUGCAGAAUUCAGUGAAUCAUCGAAUCUUUGAACGCAUAUUGCGCUCUUUGGUAUUCCGAAGAGCAUGCUUGUUUGAGUAUCAGUAAACACCUCAACCUCUUCUUGAUUUUUCAAAAGGAGGGUGGACUUGAGCUAUCCCAACAACCUUUACCGGUCGGCGGGCGGCUUGAAAUGCAGGUGCAGCUGGACUUUUAUCUGAGCUAAAAGCAUAUCUAUUUAGUCCUCGUCAAACAGGAUUAUUACUUUUGCUGCAGCUAACAUAAAGGAUAAUUGUUCUCUUUGCUGACUGAUGCAGGAUUUUACGACACUUUAUGUGUUGUUCAACUCGAUCUCAAAUCAAGUAAGACUACCCGCUGAACUUAAGCAUAUCAAUAAGCGGAGGA
RNAcentral lists this unclassified non-coding RNA (420 nucleotides) under soil metagenome. RNAcentral's name for it is "partial contains 5.8S ribosomal RNA, internal transcribed spacer 2, and large subunit ribosomal RNA". The stretch from base 2 to 119 matches the Rfam family "5.8S ribosomal RNA", at positions 37 to 154 of the family's 154-position model. The record is from RNAcentral.